This 249-nucleotide long non-coding RNA is filed under the name Elaeis guineensis (African oil palm). RNAcentral's name for it is "long non-coding RNA (EGUI_LNC009195)". The record is from RNAcentral. Lineage: Eukaryota; Viridiplantae; Streptophyta; Magnoliopsida; Arecales; Arecaceae.
GAUAUCUCACUUUUGAUCUUGAUCCUUUCGGGACUUUAGUCCAAUUGAGACUUUAAAUUUUUGAUGAGGUCCAAUCCGAAGAUCGGAUAUCCCACUUUUGAUCUUGGUCCUUUCGGGACUCUGGUCCAAUUGGAACUUCAAAUUUUUGAUGAGAUCCAAUCUAGAGAUCGGAUAUUUUACUUUUAAUCUUGAUCUUUUUGGGAUUUUGGUCCAAUUGAGAUUUUUGAUUUUUAAUGAGGUUCAAUCCAG